UGGGGAAUUUUGGACAAUGGGGGCAACCCUGAUCCAGCAAUGCCGCGUGUGUGAAGAAGGCCUUCGGGUUGUAAAGCACUUUUGUCCGGAAAGAAAACGCCGUGGUUAAUACCCGUGCGGAUGACGGUACCGGAAGAAUAAGCACCGGCUAACUACGUGCCAGCAGCCGCGGUAAUACGUAGGGUGCAAGCGUUAAUCGGAAUUACUGGGCGUAAAGCGUGCGCAGGCGGUCCGCUAAGACAGAUGUGAAAAUCCCCCGGGCUUAACCUGGGAACUGCAUUUGUGACUGGCGGGCUAGAGUAUGGCAGAGGGGGGUAAAUUCCACGUGUAGCAGUGAAAUGCGUAGAGAUGUGGAGAAUACCGAUGCGAAGGCAGCCCCUGGGCCAAUACUGACGCUCAUGCACGAAAGCGUGGGGGAGC
Molecule: ribosomal RNA, 420 nt
Filed under: uncultured bacterium
Lineage: Bacteria
Description: partial 16S ribosomal RNA
Rfam family: Bacterial small subunit ribosomal RNA
Source: RNAcentral